GGCGAACGGGUGAGUAAUGCAUCGGAACGUGCCCAACUGUGGGGGAUAACUCGGCGAAAGCCGGAUUAAUACCGCAUACGAUCCACGGAUGAAAGCGGGGGACCUUCGGGCCUCGCGCAGUUGGAGCGGCCGAUGUUAGAUUAGGUAGUUGGUGGGGUAAAGGCUCACCAAGCCAACGAUCUAUAGCUGGUCUGAGAGGACGACCAGCCACACUGGGACUGAGACACGGCCCAGACUCCUACGGGAGGCAGCAGUGGGGAAUUUUGGACAAUGGGCGCAAGCCUGAUCCAGCAAUACCGCGUGCAGGAAGAAGGCCUUCGGGUUGUAAACUGCUUUUGUACGGAACGAAAAGGUCUGGGUUAAUACCCUGGGCCCAUGACGGUACCGUAAGAAUAAGCACCGGCUAACUACGUGCCAGCAGCCGCGGUAAUACGUAGGGUGCAAGCGUUAAUCGGAAUUACUGGGCGUAAAGCGUGC
RNAcentral lists this ribosomal RNA (477 nucleotides) under uncultured Hydrogenophaga sp. RNAcentral's name for it is "bacterial SSU rRNA". It matches the Rfam family "Bacterial small subunit ribosomal RNA", at positions 97 to 570 of the family's 1533-position model. Lineage: Bacteria; Pseudomonadati; Pseudomonadota; Betaproteobacteria; Burkholderiales; Comamonadaceae. The record is from RNAcentral.